Molecule: long non-coding RNA, 1805 nt
Organism: Anolis carolinensis (green anole)
Lineage: Eukaryota; Metazoa; Chordata; Lepidosauria; Squamata; Anolidae
Source: Ensembl
CGGUGCUCCAUUUUCCUGGGCAUAUUUUUACAUGAAAGGGAAAAGACAAAGUGUGGGAAAUGCCUGAAUACAAUGAACAGAGAAAGGAUGGAAACACUGGUAAAAAAAUUAUGAAAAUUCAAAACAAUGUUUUUCAAGUAUUGAGAAUCUCUGAUUACAAGAAUUUGGAACUAGCAAAAAUAUUUGUACAAAAAUUCUGUACAAAAUUCACAAAUGAUUUUUUGUGCAGAAAACUAGGCAGAAAUGUAUCCAAUUGUCUGGUGAUUAUGUGGAAAAGUGAAUAGUGGUAGUUAAAGAGCAUGUUCUAAGGAUUAUUUCUGCGUUUGAUUUAUUAAAAUAUUCCCAUCCAAACCCAAGUAAUGAAGGUAGAGGCAUUACUUUUCAUUCAACCCUCGUAGGAAUUGCUGAUACCUUUCACUUUAGCAUUCUGAUUUUUGACAUUUUCAUCUGUUCUCUCUCUUUUCUCUCCAUCCCCGCAAAAAAGGGCUUUAAAACUCCAUUUCACACUGGGCAGCGGGAAAUGGUGCACAAUGAGGUAUAAUAAACUCAGUGUUGAUCCUGGAAAACAGCUCCAUUGCACCUGAAACACAAAACUGCCUCUCUUUGGAUCUGAACCAAAGUGGGGCUAGUUUUGCAUGAUAAAUAAUCCAGGGACUUCAUGCAUAUUCAGCAGCCACAGUCUCUGGGUGCCACCUCCUCCCAAUGUCUUCCCUUUGCCAAUUAGGUAUUGCUGCCUGAUUCUAGUGCAAUAAUCAGGUAGCGUAAGGUUGGCAUUUUGAUUUCAAAUCAUGUGUUUAAUAUUAAUUUCUCUUCCUUCUCCGAAGCCAUCCUGAGCAAGGCAACCACGCUCUGGAACAUUUGGUUUGUCCCUUGAGCCAUUGCAACAAAACAUGGGAUGCUUUAUUACCUUCCAUGUGUCCUGAUUUGACAAGCACAGUCCCAACUAAUUUCCACCAUCCUUAUUUUCCAGCUUCUUUUUCAAAUGCUCCAGUUUUUCUCUCCUUAUACUACUGUUUGCCCCAUUUGUCCUCCACUUAACUUCAGUUGCUGUAAGCUGGGGAUGAAGCUACACUGAAGGAUUAUUGCGGUUUGACACCAUUUUAAUUAGCUCAAUACUACAUAGUCUUAUGUGUUGCAGUUUGCUGGAAGUUCACCAUACAAAUUGUGCACCAUACAUAUGUAUGAUGGAGAAAUGGUCUCUCUAGGAAUAGAUAGGUCUUCCAAUGCAUCUCUAUGGUUCACAUCUAGUGAAAGUCGAUCACAGAAUCAAGCUGGAGGAUCUACAACAGACCUGCACAACCUAUGGCCUUCCAGGUUUUGGGCCUACAACUCCCAGAAGCUCUAGCCAGCUGUUCCAAUGCCCAGGAAUUCUGGGAACUGAAGUCCAAAACACCUGGAGGGCCAUAGGUUGUCUAAACCUGAUCUAGUAAAGGUAAAGGUUUCCCCUGACCUUAAGUCCAGUCAUGUCCGACUCUGUGGGUGCUCAUCUCCAUUUCUAAGCCGAAGAGCCGGCGUUGUCCAUAGACAUCUCCAAGGUCAUGUGGCCGGCAUGAGUGCAUGGAGUGCCAUUGCCUUCCCGCCGGAGCGGUACCUAUUGAUCUACUCACAUUUGCAUGUUUUUGAACUGCUAGGUUGGCAGAAGCUGGGGCUAACAGCGGGCGCUCACUCCGCUCCCUGGAUUUGAACCUGUGACCUUUUGGUCUGCAAUUUCAGCAGCUCAGCACUUUAACACACUGAGCCACCGGAGGCUCUAUAAGCCUGAUCUAGAGAAAACUUAUUAAGCAAAUCUUCAAAUAAUCAAAUCC